CCUACGGGAGGCAGCAGUGAGGAAUAUUGGUCAAUGGGCGCGAGCCUGAACCAGCCAAGCCGCGUGAGGGAGGAAGGUACAGAGGAUUGUAAACCUCUUUUGUCGGGGAGCAAAAGACGGCACGCGUGGCGGGACGAGAGUACCCGAAGAAAAAGCAGCGGCUAACUCCGUGCCAGCAGCCGCGGUAAUACGGAGGAGGCGAGCGUUAUCCGGCUUUAUUGGGUUUAAAGGGUGCGCAGGCGGACUAUCAAGUCAGCGGUCCAAGUGAGCGGCUCAUCCCCGGCGCGCCGUGGAAACUGGGUUUCUUGAGUGGGUGCGCAGUAUGCGUCCUGCGUGGUGUAGCGGU
RNAcentral lists this ribosomal RNA (346 nucleotides) under uncultured bacterium. Its description in RNAcentral is "partial 16S ribosomal RNA". It matches the Rfam family "Bacterial small subunit ribosomal RNA", at positions 338 to 682 of the family's 1533-position model. The record is from RNAcentral.